GUGCUUCAGUGGCACAUACUAAAACUGGAAUAAUACAGAGAAAACUGGCAUGGCACCUGCACAAGUAACACAUGCAAAUUCGUGAAGCACUCCAUAUUUAA
RNAcentral lists this small nuclear RNA (101 nucleotides) under Castor canadensis (American beaver). The record is from RNAcentral. Lineage: Eukaryota; Metazoa; Chordata; Mammalia; Rodentia; Castoridae.